AUGCCUACCGCUAGCACCUCCAUGGCCGCCGCCGCCUCCUGCCGGAGCCCGCUCGUCUGGUUCUUCUCCCUCGCCGCCGCGCUCUUCUUCGCCUCCUGGUACCUCCUCCUCGACUCCGCCGCCGCCCCGACCGCGCUCGAUGCCCGCCGCCAGGGCCUCCGCCCCGCCUCUCCAGGCAGAAAAUGCGAUCCGGACAAGGCGCUGCUGCGCGUCUACAUGUACGACCUGCCCCUCGAGUUCCACUUCGGCAUGCUCGACUGGGAGCCUGGGAGCGGCGGCGGCGGCCUUUGGCCGGACGUCAGGCACGGCGUGCCGGAGUACCCCGGAGGGCUCAACCUGCAGCACAGCAUCGAGUACUGGCUCACGCUGGACCUCCUCGCCUCCGAGCAGGGCGCGCCCACGCCGUGCAACGCCGUCCGGGUGCGCGACCCCGCCAGGGCCGACGUCGUCUUCGUGCCCUUCUUCGCCUCCCUCAGCUUCAACCGCCACUCCAAGGUCGUGCCGCCCGCGCGGACCAGCGAGGACCGGGCGCUGCAGCGGAGGCUGAUCGAGUUCCUCGCCGCGCGGCCGGAGUGGCGGAGGUCCGGCGGGAGGGACCACGUCGUCCUCGCGCACCACCCCAACGGGAUGCUCGACGCGCGCUACAAGCUCUGGCCCUGCGUCUUCGUGCUCUGCGACUUCGGGAGGUACCCACACAGGGUGGCCAACAUCGACAAGGACGUCAUCGCCCCGUACCGGCAUGUCGUCGACAACUUCUUCAAUGACUCCACCGGCUACCACGACCGGCCGACCUUGCUCUACUUCCAAGGCGCCAUUUACAGGAAAGAUGGUGGUUUCAUCCGACAGGAACUUUACUAUCUUCUCAAAGAUGAGAAAGAUGUGCACUUCUCAUUUGGAAGUGUGGCUGGUAAUGGGAUUGAGGAAUCGACACGGGGUAUGAGGGCAUCCAAAUUCUGCCUCAACAUUGCAGGGGAUACGCCAUCCUCCAACCGUCUAUUCGAUUCCAUAGUCAGUCACUGUGUGCCCGUCAUUAUCAGCGAUGAGAUUGAACUCCCAUUUGAAGAUAUCCUUGACUACUCCAAGUUCUGCAUCAUAGUGCGUGGUGCAGAUGCUGUUAAGAAGGGCUUUCUGAUAAAUCUGAUCAAAGGGAUAAGCCCAGAAGAGUGGACAAGCAUGUGGAACAAACUGAGGGAGGUAGAAGGGCACUUUGAAUACCAGUACCCAUCUCAGCCUGACGAUGCUGUCCAGAUGAUCUGGAAGACCAUAGCUCGAAAGGUGCCUUCAAUUCGGCUGAAGGUCAACAGAUUACAAAGAUUUUCCCGGUCUGAAGCUAACAAAACAAACGAUUCUCCGGCAAGAUCUUCCUGGCUAGAAAAUCAAGCUCGUUGA
RNAcentral lists this ribosomal RNA (1389 nucleotides) under Triticum aestivum (bread wheat). Its description in RNAcentral is "partial small subunit ribosomal RNA". Lineage: Eukaryota; Viridiplantae; Streptophyta; Magnoliopsida; Poales; Poaceae. The record is from RNAcentral.